This 74-nucleotide transfer RNA is filed under the name bacterium. RNAcentral describes it as "tRNA-Met". It matches the Rfam family "tRNA". Rfam says of the family: Transfer RNA (tRNA) molecules are approximately 80 nucleotides in length. Their secondary structure includes four short double-helical elements and three loops (D, anti-codon, and T loops). The record is from RNAcentral.
GGCUGGAUAGCUCAGUCGGUUAGAGCGAGGGACUCAUAAGCCCUAGGUCGGUGGUUCGAUUCCACCUCCAGCCA